This 430-nucleotide ribosomal RNA is filed under the name uncultured bacterium. Its description in RNAcentral is "partial 16S ribosomal RNA". It matches the Rfam family "Bacterial small subunit ribosomal RNA", at positions 354 to 796 of the family's 1533-position model. The record is from RNAcentral.
GUGGGGAAUAUUGCACAAUGGGCGCAAGCCUGAUGCAGCAACGCCGCGUGAGGGAUGACGGCCUUCGGGUUGUAAACCUCUUUUAGUAGGGAAGAAGCGAAAGUGACGGUACCUGCAGAAAAAGCACCGGCUAACUACGUGCCAGCAGCCGCGGUAAUACGUAGGGUGCAAGCGUUGUCCGGAAUUAUUGGGCGUAAAGAGCUCGUAGGCGGCUGGUCGCGUCUGCUGUGAAAUCCCGGGGCUCAACCCCGGGCCUGCAGUGGGUACGGGCAGGCUAGAGUGCGGUAGGGGAGAUUGGAAUUCCUGGUGUAGCGGUGGAAUGCGCAGAUAUCAGGAGGAACACCGAUGGCGAAGGCAGAUCUCUGGGCCGCUACUGACGCUGAGGAGCGAAAGCAUGGGGAGCGAACAGGAUUAGAAACCCUGGUAGUCC